CCAUUCGUUUAGGGAACACACCA
RNAcentral lists this non-coding RNA (23 nucleotides) under Arabidopsis thaliana (thale cress). Lineage: Eukaryota; Viridiplantae; Streptophyta; Magnoliopsida; Brassicales; Brassicaceae. The record is from RNAcentral.